This 392-nucleotide ribosomal RNA is filed under the name uncultured bacterium. Its description in RNAcentral is "partial 16S ribosomal RNA". It matches the Rfam family "Bacterial small subunit ribosomal RNA", at positions 338 to 728 of the family's 1533-position model. The record is from RNAcentral.
CCUACGGGAGGCAGCAGUGAGGAAUAUUGGUCAAUGGCCGGAAGGCUGAACCAGCCAAGCCGCGUGAAGGACGAAGGUGCCAAGCAUUGUAAACUUCUUUUGUCAAGGGAUAAAAUGAGGCUCGAGAGCCUGACCGAGGGUACUUGAAGAAAAAGCAUCGGCUAACUCCGUGCCAGCAGCCGCGGUAAUACGGAGGAUGCGAGCGUUAUCCGGAUUUAUUGGGUUUAAAGGGGGCGUAGGCGGACUGUUAAGUCAGUGGUAAAAGGCCGGGGCUCAACCCAGGAGAGCCGUUGAAACUGGCAGUCUUGAGAUGUGGAGAGGUAUGCGGAAUGCGCAGUGUAGCGGUGAAAUGCUUAGAUAUGGCGCAGAACUCCGAUUGCGAAGGCAGCAUA